RNAcentral lists this ribosomal RNA (515 nucleotides) under uncultured bacterium. RNAcentral describes it as "partial 16S ribosomal RNA". It matches the Rfam family "Bacterial small subunit ribosomal RNA", at positions 28 to 523 of the family's 1533-position model. The record is from RNAcentral.
GAUGAACGCUGGCGGCGUGCCUAAUACAUGCAAGUCGAGCGAAUGGAUUAAGAGCUUGCUCUUAUGAAGUUAGCGGCGGACGGGUGAGUAACACGUGAGUAACCUGCCCAUAAGACUGGGAUAACUCCGGGAAACAGGGGCUAAUACCGGAUAACAUUUUGAACCGCAUGGUUCGAAAUUGAAAGGCGGCUUAGGCUGUCACUUAUGGAUGGACCCGCGUCGCAUUAGCUAGUUGGUGAGGUAACGGCUCACCAAGGCAACGAUGCGUAGCCGACCUGGGAGGGUGAUCGGCCACACUGGGGCCGGGACACGGCCCAGACUCCUACGGGAGGCAGGAGUAGGGAAUCUUCCGCAAUGGACGAAAGUCUGACGGAGCAACGCCGCGUGAGUGAUGAAGGCUUUCGGGUCGUAAAACUCUGUUGUUAGGGAAGAACAAGUGCUAGUUGAAUAAGCUGGCACCUUGACGGUACCUAACCAGAAAGCCACGGCUAACUACGUGCCAGCAGCCGCGGUAA